AAACCAUAUGAUGAUUUUGGAUUUAAUUCUCACGACGGUCGUCUGAUCUCACGCCUGUUUGUCGGGCCGUGAUAAACUGAUGUAUUGAUCCAUAUUUUUCUGAUGGUU
Helianthus annuus (common sunflower) is the source of this 108-nucleotide non-coding RNA. The record is from Rfam. NCBI's taxonomy places the organism in Eukaryota, Viridiplantae, Streptophyta, Magnoliopsida, Asterales, Asteraceae.